RNAcentral lists this ribosomal RNA (446 nucleotides) under uncultured bacterium. RNAcentral's name for it is "partial 16S ribosomal RNA". It matches the Rfam family "Bacterial small subunit ribosomal RNA", at positions 338 to 795 of the family's 1533-position model. The record is from RNAcentral.
CCUACGGGGAGCAGCAGUCGAGAAUCAUUCACAAUGGGGGAAACCCUGAUGGUGCGACGCCGCGUGGGGGAAUGAAGGUCUUCGGAUUGUAAACCCCUGUCAUGUGGGAGCAAAUUAAAAAGAUAGUACCACAAGAGGAAGAGACGGCUAACUCUGUGCCAGCAGCCGCGGUAAUACAGAGGUCUCAAGCGUUGUUCGGAAUCACUGGGCGUAGAGCGUGCGUAGGCUGUUUCGUAAGUCGUGUGUGAAAGGCGAGGGCUCAACCCGCGGACGGCACAUGAUACUGCGAGACUAGAGUAAUGGAGGGGGAACCGGAAUUCUCGGUGUAGCAGUGAAAUGCGUAGAUAUCGAGAGGAACACUCGUGGCGAAGGCGGGUUCCUGGACAUUAACUGACGCUGAGGCACGAAGGCCAGGGGAGCGAAAGGGAUUAGAUACCCCAGUAGUC